UAAGCCGGGUUCUGUCAAGGACAGUCAUUCCUCUAGGCGUGCAGUCACCCGCACGCUCAAGCAACCUACCCGCAGGCUCAGCGAGCAGCAUCAUCGCCUGCCUAUUUGGUCUUGCUCCGGAUGGAGGUUACCGCGUUUCACCGUAACUUAAUACGCUCGUCUCUGUGGCCCUGUUCCUCACCUUACGGCGGCCGGCCGUUAACCGGCAUCCUGCUCUGCGGAGCCCGGACUUUCCUC
Molecule: non-coding RNA, 237 nt
Filed under: Nitrosospira multiformis ATCC 25196
Lineage: Bacteria; Pseudomonadati; Pseudomonadota; Betaproteobacteria; Nitrosomonadales; Nitrosomonadaceae
Source: RNAcentral